UCAGUCGACUCCUACGGGGAGGCAGCAGUGGGGAAUAUUGCACAAUGGGGGAAACCCUGAUGCAGCCAUGCCGCGUGUGUGAAGAAGGCCUUCGGGUUGUAAAGCACUUUCAGUAGGGAGGAAGGUAGUGUAGUUAACACCUGCACUAUUUGACGUUACCUACAGAAGAAGCACCGGCUAACUCCGUGCCAGCAGCCGCGGUAAUACGGAGGGUGCGAGUGUUAAUCGGAAUUACUGGGCGUAAAGCGCAUGCAGGCGGCCUGUUAAGUCAGAUGUGAAAGCCCGGGGCUUAACCUCGGAAUUGCAUUUGAAACUGGCAGGCUAGAGUCUUGUAGAGGGGGGUAGGAAUUUCAGGUGUAGCGGUGAAAUGCGUAGAGAUCUGAAGGAAUACCAGUGGCGAAGGCGGCCCCCUCGGACAAAGACUGACGCUCAGAUGCGAAAGCGUGGGGAGCAAACAGGAUUAGAUACCCUGGUAG
RNAcentral lists this ribosomal RNA (476 nucleotides) under uncultured bacterium. RNAcentral describes it as "bacterial SSU rRNA". It matches the Rfam family "Bacterial small subunit ribosomal RNA", at positions 328 to 793 of the family's 1533-position model. The record is from RNAcentral.